RNAcentral lists this ribosomal RNA (228 nucleotides) under uncultured bacterium. Its description in RNAcentral is "partial 16S ribosomal RNA". It matches the Rfam family "Bacterial small subunit ribosomal RNA", at positions 328 to 540 of the family's 1533-position model. The record is from RNAcentral.
ACGCUCGACACCUACGGGAGACAGCAGUAGGGAAUCUUCCACAAUGGGCGCAAGCCUGAUGGAGCAACACCGCGUGAGUGAAGAAGGGUUUCGGCUCGUAAAGCUCUGUUGUUGGAGAAGAACGUGCGUGAGAGUAACUGUUCACGCAGUGACGGUAUCCAACCAGAAAGUCACGGCUAACUACGUGCCGCAGCCGCGGUAAUACUGAGCGGGCGUGGCGAACGGACG